Molecule: ribosomal RNA, 381 nt
Filed under: Holepyris sp.
Lineage: Eukaryota; Metazoa; Arthropoda; Insecta; Hymenoptera; Bethylidae
Description: partial large subunit ribosomal RNA
Source: RNAcentral
UAGUCUCUGCCCAAUGAAUAUUUAAAUGGCUGCAGUAUUUUGACUGUACAAAGGUAGCAUAAUAAAUUGUUCUUUAAUUAAGAUCUAGAAUGAAAGAGGUGAUGAAUUAAAAUCUUUAUUUAUUUUAUUAAUUGAAUUUAAAUUUAAAGUUAAAAUGCUUUAAUAAAUUUAUGGGACGAGAAGACCCUAUAGAAUUUAAUUUUUAUAAAUAAUUUUUUUAUUUAUAAAAAUUUAUUUGGGAGGAAUAUUAAAUUUAUCAACUUUUUUAAAUUUUAUACAAAUAUAUUUGAUUAUUUUGAUUUUAAAUUUAAUUAUUAGAGUAAAUUACCUUAGGGAUAACAGCAUAAUAUUUUUGGAAAGAUCAUAUUUAUAAAAAUGUUU